This 431-nucleotide long non-coding RNA is filed under the name Helianthus annuus (common sunflower). The record is from RNAcentral. Lineage: Eukaryota; Viridiplantae; Streptophyta; Magnoliopsida; Asterales; Asteraceae.
UUGCCAAACAAACUCCAUCUCGAACCAAGAAAAAUCGAGAUUCGGUCACGCGUUUUCAAGCUGUCUUAGUUUCCUAUUUUGAGUUCAAUCAUCGGCCUAAAUUAGACGAGAUUCCUAAGCGAUAAACUGCGUCUGGAGACCUAUAAGUAGAGGUGGUGCUUACUCGUUACGAACACGCCUCUCACCUUUCUGUUCCUCACCCCAAAUCGGCCCCUUUUGUCAAGUUCCGCCGCCGCCGCAAGUACUCCGACGAAACCAGUAACCAUCGAACUGAUUGAGGUAUGGAUGCUAUCCAUCUAUUCGAUUUGCAACAUUUAUUCCUCUCGUGCGGGUUACUUACGGCCUUCCUAUCGCAAUUAAGGUUACAAGAAAAUCAAGGAAGACUUGGAAAAGGGCUAGGGAGAAUAAAAGACUCACAGGAAUUUUCAUAA